This is a long non-coding RNA of Rhododendron vialii, 255 nucleotides long. RefSeq lists it as uncharacterized. The record is from RefSeq and is a predicted model, not a curated record. The transcript is spliced from 3 exons. NCBI's taxonomy places the organism in Eukaryota, Viridiplantae, Streptophyta, Magnoliopsida, Ericales, Ericaceae.
AGUCAACGUUUUCAUUUUGCAAUACUUGAAUAGCAAAGAAAAGGCGCAUAACACCAUAAAGCACAUGCCCAGGAGAACAAUACAGGCCCAGGACAUAAACAACAGAACAAUAAUGUUGUCAAAACAGGCUUUUCUUAAUGUUUCGGCUAGCAAAUGGAAACCCAUAACAUUAAUCGCGCUUUAUGAAUGAAGUCUAUUCUUCAUGGAUAGUCAACGUAGAAAAAAUCAGAGCUGAACUUCUAAAGUACAAUACAU